Molecule: transfer RNA, 81 nt
Filed under: Chloroparvula japonica
Lineage: Eukaryota; Viridiplantae; Chlorophyta; Chloropicophyceae; Chloropicales; Chloropicaceae
Description: tRNA-Leu
Rfam family: tRNA
About the family: Transfer RNA (tRNA) molecules are approximately 80 nucleotides in length. Their secondary structure includes four short double-helical elements and three loops (D, anti-codon, and T loops).
Source: RNAcentral
GCCGCCGUGGUGGAAUGGUAGACACGACGCAUUCAAAAUGCGUUGAGGCAACUCGUACCAGUUCAAGUCUGGUCGGCGGCA